GGCUAUAUGUGCGCCCUUCUUAAAUUUAAUAUUUGUUUGAGGGUUAUUUAUUUAAUUUAAAAUAUUUUAGAAGAAGUGUUUUAUUUUUUAGUAUUGAUGAAAGAAAAAAAUUUUAAAACUAAAGGAGAUUAGUACUGUGAAGGAAUAAAAUAAUUUAAUAUAAAGUAGUGUUUAAAAUUCGUACCUUUUGUAUGAUGGCUUAUCGAGUGAGAGGUAUCAGAUGAUAGGUUCCCGAAAUAAAAUGAGCUAUUAAUAGUCUUUUUCAGUGUUGAAGAACUGUAUUUAGAAUUAUUAAUAGGGGUGAUAUGCCUAUCGAAUUUUAUGAUAGCUGGUUUAUUAGGAAAAAUAUGUAAGUAUUGACUAGAAUUUUUAUAUUAUAAUCUUUUAAGAAAAUAAGUGAAAUUCUUAGUUCAAGUUAAAGGGGAUAAGCUUUUUAAUUUAAUGGCAAAAAUUAUUUUAUUUUGUGGGUUUAUUUUAGGCUUAAUAUUAGUCAUAAAUAGAAAAAUUGUUAUAAAUUAUAGGCUAAGAAAAAAUAAGGGUUAUUUUGUUAUUGUACUAAUAUUUUAUAAAAAAUUGUUUUUAUAAAAAAUUAUGAUAAGAUGAGUAUUGUUACUAUUUUGUGAGUUUAUUAUUUUAAAAAUUAAAAUGAGUAAAUAAUAAAAAUUUAUUUUAUGAAAUGUGAUGAUAAAAAUGAGAGAAAGGAAUUCGGCAAAAAUUUGUUUCGCCUGUUUAUCAAAAACAUGGCUCUUUGGGUUAAAAAUAUAGAGAGUCGAGCCUGCCCAAUGACGUAAUGUUGAAUGGCCGCGGUACUCUGACCGUGCGAAGGUAGCAUAAUCAUUUGUCUUUUAAUUGAGGACUAGAAUGAAUGGUUUGACGAAAACAAAACUGUCUUUUUCUUAUUAAGUAGAAAUUAAUUUUUAAGUGAAGAAUCUUUAAUUUUUAUAAAAGACAAGAAGACCCUAUUGAGCUUUAUUAUACAAAACUAUUUUAAUUUUAUAGUAUUAAAAGGUUUAAAGAAGUUAAUUAUAAUUUGGUUGGGGCGACUUAGGAAUAUAGAAAACUUCCUUUAUACUAAUUUAAAAAAUUAUAUAAUGAUCCGGUAUUUAUCGAUUAAAAGAAAUAGCUACCAUAGGGAUAACAGCGUAAUUUUCUUUGAGAGUUCCUAUCGAAAAGAAAGUUUGCGACCUCGAUGUUGGAUUGAAGUAUCUAGAGGGUGUAGCAGCUCUUUGGGUUGGUCUGUUCGACCAUUAAAACUUUACAUGAUCUGAGUUCAGACCGGCGUGAGCCAGGUCGGUUUCUAUCUUUAUAGAAAUAAAUAAACUUUAGGUUAGUACGAAAGGACCAUCUAAAAGAUAAAUUUUGUGUUAAAUGUAGAUUUAUUGAAAUUUAAAAUUAAAUUGGCAGAUUUUUAUGCAGUUGAUUUAGGGUCAAAA
RNAcentral lists this ribosomal RNA (1433 nucleotides) under Cocculina subcompressa. RNAcentral's name for it is "16S ribosomal RNA". The stretch from base 78 to 1323 matches the Rfam family "Bacterial large subunit ribosomal RNA". Lineage: Eukaryota; Metazoa; Mollusca; Gastropoda; Cocculinidae. The record is from RNAcentral.